GAACUGAAGAGUUUGAUCCUGGCUCAGAUUGAACGCUGGCGGCAUGCUUUACACAUGCAAGUCGAACGGCAGCGCGGGGCAACCUGGCGGCGAGUGGCGAACGGGUGAGUAAUAUAUCGGAACGUACCCAGAAGUGGGGGAUAACGUAGCGAAAGUUACGCUAAUACCGCAUACGAUCUACGGAUGAAAGUGGGGGACCUUCGGGCCUCAUGCUUGUGGAGCGGCCGAUAUCUGAUUAGCUAGUUGGUAGGGUAAAGGCCUACCAAGGCGACGAUCAGUAGCUGGUCUGAGAGGACGACCAGCCACACUGGGACUGAGACACGGCCCAGACUCCUACGGGAGGCAGCAGUGGGGAAUUUUGGACAAUGGGCGCAAGCCUGAUCCAGCAAUGCCGCGUGAGUGAAGAAGGCCUUCGGGUUGUAAAGCUCUUUUGUCAGGGAAGAAACGGCUGAGGCUAAUACCUUUGGCUAAUGACGGUACCUGAAGAAUAAGCACCGGCUAACUACGUGCCAGCAGCCGCGGUAAUACGUAGGGGGCAAGCGUUAAUCGGAAUUACUGGGCGUAAAGCGUGCGCAGGCGGUUUUGUAAGUCUGACGUGAAAGCCCCGGGCUCAACCUGGGAAUUGCGUUGGAGACUGCAAGGCUUGAAUCUGGCAGAGGGGGGUAGAAUUCCACGUGUAGCAGUGAAAUGCGUAGAGAUGUGGAGGAACACCGAUGGCG
Molecule: non-coding RNA, 719 nt
Filed under: Massilia sp. BSC265
Lineage: Bacteria; Pseudomonadati; Pseudomonadota; Betaproteobacteria; Burkholderiales; Oxalobacteraceae
Description: Bacterial small subunit ribosomal RNA
Rfam family: Bacterial small subunit ribosomal RNA
Source: Rfam by way of RNAcentral